UUGGCCAUUAUAACUCCUGGAAGGAUGUUUCUCCCCCCUUUCUGGCACAUCAAACUAUUGCUGCCCGUCUCUAGUAGGAUAGUCGGAUCGUUGUGCCUGAGUAUCGAAUGAUAGAAAAUUGGUGGAGAAGGACCGCUCGGUGGAGAGAGAGCACAGUCGAGAGAGUCGAGAAUGAGAGCAACAGCUCACGGUCUAUUGAACGGAGGCAGGAUCAAC
This 216-nucleotide long non-coding RNA is filed under the name Elaeis guineensis (African oil palm). RNAcentral describes it as "long non-coding RNA (EGUI_LNC016956)". Lineage: Eukaryota; Viridiplantae; Streptophyta; Magnoliopsida; Arecales; Arecaceae. The record is from RNAcentral.